RNAcentral lists this ribosomal RNA (506 nucleotides) under uncultured bacterium. RNAcentral's name for it is "partial 16S ribosomal RNA". It matches the Rfam family "Bacterial small subunit ribosomal RNA", at positions 30 to 523 of the family's 1533-position model. The record is from RNAcentral.
AUUGAACGCUGGCGGUAUGCUUAACACAUGCAAGUCGAACGGCAGCAUGGUCUAGCUUGCUAGACUGAUGGCGAGUGGCGGACGGGUGAGUAACGCGUAGGGAUAUGCCUUGAAGAGUGGGACAACUUGGGGAAACUCAAGCUAAUACCGCAUGUACUCGAGAGAGUAAAGCUGGAGACCUUUAGGCCUGGCGCUUUAAGAUUAGCCUGCGUCCGAUUAGCUAGUUGGUAGGGUAAAGGCCUACCAAGGCGACGAUCGGUAGCUGGUCUGAGAGGAUGAUCAGCCACACUGGAACUGAGAGACGGUCCAGACUCCUACGGGAGGCAGCAGUGGGGAAUAUUGGACAAUGGGGGGAACCCUGAUCCAGCAAUGCCGCGUGUGUGAAGAAGGCCUGAGGGUUGUAAAGCACUUUCAGUGGGGAGGAGGUUUGGAAGGUUAAGAGCUAUUCAAAUGGACGUUACCCACAGAAGAAGCACCGGCUAACUCCGUGCCAGCCGCCGCGGUAA